CGGACGGGUGAGUAACGCGUGAGAAUCUGGCUUCAGGAUGGGGACAACAGCGGGAAACUGCUGCUAAUACCCAAUGUGCCGAGAGGUGAAAGAUUAAUCGCCUGAAGAUGAGCUCGCGACUGAUUAGCUAGUUGGUAGGGUAAGAGCCUACCAAGGCAGUGAUCAGUAGCUGGUCUGAGAGGAUGACCAGCCACACUGGGACUGAGACACGGCCCAGACUCCUACGGGAGGCAGCAGUGGGGAAUAUUCCGCAAUGGGGGCAACCCUGACGGAGCAAUACCGCGUGGGGGAGGACGGCCUUUGGGUUGUAAACCCCUUUUCUCAGGGAAGAACACAAUGACGGUACCUGAGGAAUCAGCCUCGGCUAACUCCGUGCCAGCAGCCGCGGUAAGACGGAGGAGGCAAGCGUUAUCCGGAAUUAUUGGGCGUAAAGCGUCCGCAGGUGGCCUAUCAAGUCUGCUGUUAAAGCCCAGGGCUCAACCCUGGAUCAGCAGUGGAAACUGAUAAGCUAGAGUGCGGUAGGGGUAGAGGGAAUUCCCGGUGUAGCGGUGAAAUGCGUAGAGAUCGGGAAGAACACCAGUGGCGAAAGCGCUCUACUGGACCGCAACUGACACUCAUGGACGAAAGCUAGGGGAGCGAAAGGGAUUAGAUACCCCUGUAGUCA
RNAcentral lists this ribosomal RNA (664 nucleotides) under uncultured cyanobacterium. RNAcentral describes it as "bacterial SSU rRNA". It matches the Rfam family "Bacterial small subunit ribosomal RNA", at positions 99 to 796 of the family's 1533-position model. The record is from RNAcentral. Lineage: Bacteria; Bacillati; Cyanobacteriota.